AUAAGAGUGAACCCGUCUCUGUGGCAAAAGAGUGGGAAGACCUUGCAGUAGCGGUGAAAGGCCAAACGAGUCUAGUGAUAGCUGGUUGCUCAACAAACGAAUCUCAGUUCGACUUUAGGUUCACCCCAUAUACUGAAACUCUACAUCAACCUAAAGACUACUCAACGAAGGUACAACUCCAUUGAGAAGGGAUACAACCCAAAUUAGAGAGAAAGAAACAACACCCAUCCCAGUAGGCCUUAAAGCCGCCACCAAUAACAAAAGCGUCAUAGCACUAAACAACAAAUACCAAAAAAACAGCCAACCUCCUAAUAAAACAUUGAGCCAAACUAUAACUAUAGCCGAACUAAUGCUAAAACUAGUAACAAGAAACCCUUCUCUCGGCACACCUGUAACCCAGAAAUAGAAAAACUACUGGACUUUAACAGACCAAAAUAGGCAUAACACAAUCUGUGCUGCCCACUGUUAAACCGACACCGGAGUGCCACCAAGACAGAUUAAAAGUUAUUUAAGGAACUCAGCAAAACUUGUCCCAACUGUUUACCAAAAACAUAGCCUUUAGCUAAUAUAAGUAUUAAGGUCCCGCCUGCCCAGUG
RNAcentral lists this ribosomal RNA (596 nucleotides) under Trachylepis aureopunctata (gold-spotted mabuya). RNAcentral's name for it is "partial 16S ribosomal RNA". The record is from RNAcentral. Lineage: Eukaryota; Metazoa; Chordata; Lepidosauria; Squamata; Scincidae.